This 497-nucleotide ribosomal RNA is filed under the name uncultured bacterium. Its description in RNAcentral is "partial 16S ribosomal RNA". It matches the Rfam family "Bacterial small subunit ribosomal RNA", at positions 28 to 507 of the family's 1533-position model. The record is from RNAcentral.
GAUGAACGCUGGCGGCGUGCCUAAUACAUGCAAGUCGAGCGAACAGACGAGGAGCUUGCUCCUUUGACGUUAGCGGCGGACGGGAGAGUCACACGUGGAUACCCUACCUAUAAGACUGGGAUAACUUCGGGACACCGGAGCUAAUACCGGACAAUAUAUUGAACCGCGGGGUUCAAUAGUGAAAGACGGUUUUGCUGUCACUUAUAGAUGGAUCUGAGCCGCAUUAGCUAGUUGUUAAGGUAACGGCUUACCAAGGCGACGAUGCGUAGCCGACCUGAGAGGGGGAUCGGCCACACUGGAACUGAGACACGGUCCAGACGCCUACGGGAGGCAGCAGUAGGGAAUGUUCCGCAAUGGGCGAAAGCCUGACGGAGCAAGGCCGCGUGAGUGAUGAAGGUCUUCGGAUCGUAAAGCUCUGUUAUGAGGGAAGAACAAAUGUGAACGGAAAUAUGCACGUCUUGACGGUACCUAAACAGAAAGCCACGGCUAACUACGUG